GAUGAACGCUGGCGGCGUGCCUAAUACAUGCAAGUCGAGCGAACGGACGAGAAGCUUGCUUCUCUGAUGUUAGCGGCGGACGGGUGAGUAACACGUGGAUAACCUACCUAUAAGACUGGGAUAACUUCGGGAAACCGUAGCUAAUACCGGAUAAUAUUUUGAACCGCAUGGUUCAAAAGUGAAAGACGGUCUUGCUGUCACUUAUAGAUGGAUCCGCGCUGCAUUAGCUAGUUGGUAAGGUAACGGCUUACCAAGGCAACGAUGCAUAGCCGACCUGAGAGGGUGAUCGGCCACACUGGAACUGAGACACGGUCCAGACUCCUACGGGAGGCAGCAGUAGGGAAUCUUCCGCAAUGGGCGAAAGCCUGACGGAGCAACGCCGCGUGAGUGAUGAAGGUCUUCGGAUCGUAAAACUCUGUUAUUAGGAAAGAACAUAUGUGGAAGUAACUGUGCACAUCUUGACGGUACCGAAUCAGAAAGCCACGGCUAACUACGUG
RNAcentral lists this ribosomal RNA (497 nucleotides) under uncultured bacterium. Its description in RNAcentral is "partial 16S ribosomal RNA". It matches the Rfam family "Bacterial small subunit ribosomal RNA", at positions 28 to 507 of the family's 1533-position model. The record is from RNAcentral.